AUGAGCGUGACAAUGUUUGGGUACAUCUCAGAGGAGCGAGGAUUGGCUGCCCAUGGUGUCGGCAAUGAGAGAAGGUUGGGGACGAGGAUUGGAUUUUUACUAAUUAUUUUCCUUCAACAGAUAAUCUGUAUGACAACAUUAGCUAUGGUUAUCCCUCAGAUAGUGGUAUGGGCAGUGAUAUGGACGCCACUUGUUUUUUUUAGCCUUCUUAAGGCAUUUGUUAAAUCUUACCUGUCUAAGGUAUAUUUCAAUUUCGUUAUUACUUUUAUCUUGAACACAAGACCUUUGUAUGUGUUCAUUAGUUAA
This 306-nucleotide ribosomal RNA is filed under the name Triticum aestivum (bread wheat). RNAcentral's name for it is "partial small subunit ribosomal RNA". Lineage: Eukaryota; Viridiplantae; Streptophyta; Magnoliopsida; Poales; Poaceae. The record is from RNAcentral.